RNAcentral lists this ribosomal RNA (119 nucleotides) under Fundulus heteroclitus (mummichog). The record is from RNAcentral. Lineage: Eukaryota; Metazoa; Chordata; Actinopteri; Cyprinodontiformes; Fundulidae.
CUCCACAGCCACACCACUCUGGAUGCGCCUAAACCCGUCUGACUGCAAAAGCUAAGCAGAGUGGGGCCUGGGUAGUACUUGGAUGGGAGACCUCCGGGGAAUACUAGGUGCUAUAAGCU